UUGGAGGGCAAGUCUGGUGCCAGCAGCCGCGGUAAUUCCAGCUCCAAUAGCGUAUAUUGAAGUUGUUGCAGUUAAAAAGCUCGUAGUUGAAUUUCGGGAUUGGCACAUCGGUCGUGCCUUAAGGGGCAUGAACUGGUGUAGCCAAUUUCUCACCUUCUGGAGAACCGCGAUGUCCUUAAUUGGGUGCCGCGAGGAACCAGGACCUUUACUUUGAAAAAAUUAGAGUGUUUAAAGCAGGCAUUUUGCUUGAAUACAUUAGCGUGGAAUAAUAAAAUAGGACGGAUGAUUCUAUUUUGUUGGUUUCUAGGACCACCGUAAUGAUUAAUAGGGAUAGUUGGGGGCAUUAGUAUUCAAUUGUCAGAGGUGAAAUUCUUGGAUUUAUUGAAGACUAACUACUGCGAAAGCAUUUGCCAAGGAUGUUUUCAUUAAUCAAGAACGAAAGUUAGGGGAUCGAAGACGAUCAGAUACCGUCGUAGUCUUAACCAUAAACUAUGCCGACUAGGAAUCAGACGAUGUUAAUUUUUUAAUGACUCGUUUGGCACCUUACGGGAAACCAAAGUGUUUGGGUUC
This 570-nucleotide ribosomal RNA is filed under the name uncultured Glomeromycotina. RNAcentral's name for it is "SSU rRNA". It matches the Rfam family "Eukaryotic small subunit ribosomal RNA", at positions 548 to 1114 of the family's 1831-position model. Lineage: Eukaryota; Fungi; Glomeromycota. The record is from RNAcentral.